Molecule: ribosomal RNA, 422 nt
Filed under: uncultured bacterium
Lineage: Bacteria
Description: bacterial SSU rRNA
Rfam family: Bacterial small subunit ribosomal RNA
Source: RNAcentral
UGAGGAAUAUUGGACAAUGAGCGCAAGCCUGAUCCAGCCAUGCCGCGUGCAGGAAGAAGCAUCUAUGGUGUGUAAACUGCUUUUGUACGGGAAGAAACACUCCUACGUGUAGGAGCUUGACGGUACCGUAAGAAUAAGGAUCGGCUAACUCCGUGCCAGCAGCCGCGGUAAUACGGAGGAUCCAAGCGUUAUCCGGAAUCAUUGGGUUUAAAGGGUCCGUAGGCGGUUUAGUAAGUCAGUGGUGAAAGCCCAUCGCUCAACGAUGGAACGGCCAUUGAUACUGCUAGACUUGAAUUAUUAGGAAGUAACUAGAAUAUGUAGUGUAGCGGUGAAAUGCUUAGAGAUUACAUGGAAUACCGAUUGCGAAGGCAGGUUACUACCAAUGGAUUGACGCUGAUGGACGAAAGCGUGGGUAGCGAACA